AAAUAGAUACCCCCGGUAGUCCACGCCGUAAACGAUGAGUGCUAAGUGUUAGAGGGUUUCCGCCCUUUAGUGCUGCAGCUAACGCAUUAAGCACUCCGCCUGGGGAGUACGGUCGCAAGACUGAAACUCAAAGGAAUUGACGGGGGCCCGCACAAGCGGUGGAGCAUGUGGUUUAAUUCGAAGCAACGCGAAGAACCUUACCAGGUCUUGACAUCCUCUGACAACUCUAGAGAUAGAGCGUUCCCCUUCGGGGGACAGAGUGACAGGUGGUGCAUGGUUGUCGUCAGCUCGUGUCGUGAGAUGUUGGGUUAAGUCCCGCAACGAGCGCAACCCUUGAUCUUAGUUGCCAGCAUUUAGUUGGGCACUCUAAGGUGACUGCCGGUGACAAACCGGNGGAAGGUGGGGAUGACGUCAAAUCAUCGAUGCCCCUUAUGACCUGGGCUACGACACGUGCUACAAUGGAUGGUACAAAGGGCUGCAAGACCGCGAGGUCAAGCCAAGUCCCAUAAAACCAUUCUCAGUUCGGAUUGUAGG
Molecule: ribosomal RNA, 534 nt
Filed under: uncultured bacterium
Lineage: Bacteria
Description: bacterial SSU rRNA
Rfam family: Bacterial small subunit ribosomal RNA
Source: RNAcentral